RNAcentral lists this long non-coding RNA (621 nucleotides) under Cyanistes caeruleus (blue tit). RNAcentral's name for it is "lncRNA (ENSCCEG00000011619.1)". Lineage: Eukaryota; Metazoa; Chordata; Aves; Passeriformes; Paridae. The record is from RNAcentral.
AGUAAGAGUGGCAGCAGAUGACCCUGAAUACAUGGCCAUCCGGUUACGAAGCUUAUUCAUAUGUGAAAGGUGCAACAAGGACGCCUUUCUCCACUGCAGGAUGCUGAAGUAAGUGUUGAUAAAAACAUCACACAUAAAAGAGAGCUUAAAUGAAAACAGAGACAAGAGGAUGCUGAACAGAGAAAAGAAGCUGGAUCAGGGAUCUGAUGGCUGACCAUGAACAGCUGUGCACAGUGGCCACAGCAAACACCUGUUCAGGAUCCAGGAGGAAUCCUUCACCACCAGCCUAAGGAGAAUGUUGGUGACAGCCGCCAAAACGCCUUGAUCACGCACUCCCAGCACCCUGCCCUGCCAGCAGCCAGAGGAAAGUCCAGUUUAUGUUAAUAAGGUGAAGAGAGUGGAGAAAAUAUUUUGUGAAUUUUCUGGCUCAAAAGGGUAAUGAAGCUACCUCUGUCUCCGUGCACUGGCACAGGAGCAAACUAAACAACUGGGAAACGUGUUUCAGAGGAGAAAUACAGAGCACAAACUCCCUGGAUUUCACACUUCACUUCCACUGGCUUGCCUCUUUCUACCUCUUUUCCAGGCUGGCUGAACCCUUUUGCACAAAAAGUGGGAGGGGUG